AAUGUUGAAAAAUUAGCGGAUGACUUGUGGCUGGGGGUGAAAGGCCAAUCAAACCGGGAGAUAGCUGGUUCUCCCCGAAAGCUAUUUAGGUAGCGCCUCGUGAAUUCAUCUCCGGGGGUAGAGCACUGUUUCGGCAAGGGGGUCAUCCCGACUUACCAACCCGAUGCAAACUGCGAAUACCGGAGAAUGUUAUCACGGGAGACACACGGCGGGUGCUAACGUCCGUCGUGAAGAGGGAAACAACCCAGACCGCCAGCUAAGGUCCCAAAGUCAUGGUUAAGUGGGAAACGAUGUGGGAAGGCCCAGACAGCCAGGAUGUUGGCUUAGAAGCAGCCAUCAUUUAAAGAAAGCGUAAUAGCUCACUGGUCGAGUCGGCCUGCGCGGAAGAUGUAACGGGGCUAAACCAUGCAC
This 411-nucleotide ribosomal RNA is filed under the name Escherichia coli. RNAcentral describes it as "partial 23S ribosomal RNA". It matches the Rfam family "Bacterial large subunit ribosomal RNA", at positions 785 to 1194 of the family's 2925-position model. Lineage: Bacteria; Pseudomonadati; Pseudomonadota; Gammaproteobacteria; Enterobacterales; Enterobacteriaceae. The record is from RNAcentral.